This is a long non-coding RNA of Mastomys coucha (southern multimammate mouse), 376 nucleotides long. RefSeq lists it as uncharacterized. The record is from RefSeq and is a predicted model, not a curated record. The transcript is spliced from 4 exons. Lineage: Eukaryota; Metazoa; Chordata; Mammalia; Rodentia; Muridae.
UAUAAUUAUAAUUAUUUUAUUAUUUAUUUUUUUCUUUAUUUUUACACUCCAGAUUAGAUUCUCCUUGUGCUCAACCCUGCGAUUGUUCCACAUCCUAUACAUCCUCAUGCCAGUCUCCACAAGGAUGUCCCUACUACCCCAACACGCCACCAGACCUCUAAACUCUGGGGCCUCCAGACUCUUGAAGGGAAAGGAAACUAACAAUAGGCAAAGUGGUUUUCUGAGUUUCUUCUGACUGAAAAUGCUGCAGAUCCUAAAACUUCGCAUCCUGCUAUAUCCGAAGAUCUUCCUUUUCAAUUUGGAGCUCAAAGAAUCCCAGUAAAGAGGAGACCAAAAGAUGUUUCAGAACAGAUGGAAAACACCAGGAAAACAAGGC